RNAcentral lists this long non-coding RNA (902 nucleotides) under Homo sapiens (human). Its description in RNAcentral is "HSALNT0365031". Lineage: Eukaryota; Metazoa; Chordata; Mammalia; Primates; Hominidae. The record is from RNAcentral.
UAUGGCAACUCGUUCAAAGGCACACAGCUAAGGGUCAGCAGCAACACACUGCACUCCUGACUCCUGCUCUGAUACUUGCCUCACUGGAACCGUCAUCCCCUCUCAUGUGGCAAAUGCAGCUGGGUAUGUGGUCAGUGCAACCUGUACUUCUACAGCCACCAGCCUGCAGGCUGGACCCCAUUAGAGUGAGGAACGGAACCCCUGCUAGCCAGCCUCAGGUGACAAAACUGAGGCUCAGAGGCCAAUGGCCUUGUUCAAGGUCACACGCCCACUAAAUGAGAGACCCGGAGACCUGGCAUCACACGCUAACUAAGAAUACUGGAAGGAGAUAAGAUUGGGACUGAAAGACCUGGAUUGAAUGAUUUUUAUCAAGUCACUUCCCUUCCUUGGAUCUCCAUUUACUCAUCAAUAAACUAAGCAGAUUGGAUUAAAUGUUCUGUAAGGUGCCUUCUAGGUGAGGAAGAAGUUGGGAUAAGUCAUAAGGAAGCACCCCAAUGAACAUCUCCUGCCUCUAUGGUUUUUCUGACAUCCAUCAACAUCUGUCAGAAUUUGAAAAUGUGACUGCUUUUAGGCACUGUGCUUAGUGCUGGAGAUUCCGUGUUGAAGCUCACAGUCUGGGGCAGAGAUGGAAACAGACACAAAUAACUAUAAUACAAUGUGGAAGAAACUGGCCCAUCCUCAAAGAGAGGGGAAGGUCAGUCCAAUGAGUUUGGUUUGCUGAGCCCCACUCAGGAAUUCAUGGAGAAAUCAAGUUCCAUGUGGCUUCCAUUGCACCUUCCAGAAAAGAGUCAGAAAAUACACCCAGGAGACCAUGCCAGAGAGGAAGGUGUAAGAUUCUGGAAACUGCAGCCUCCUACAUUUGGUACCUGCCACUUUCACUUCAGUUUCUGACAGCAAUCAGC